CGAAACAUAGCUUAAC
Molecule: transfer RNA, 16 nt
Filed under: Stefania ginesi (Tepuis treefrog)
Lineage: Eukaryota; Metazoa; Chordata; Amphibia; Anura; Hemiphractidae
Description: partial tRNA-Val
Source: RNAcentral